GACGAACGCUGGCGGCGUGCCUAAUACAUGCAAGUCGAACGCAGUGGGGACGGGUGAGUAACACGUGGGUAACCUCCCAUCAGAGGGGAUAACACUUGGAAACAGGUGCUAAACCGAUACUGAUGGAUGGACCAGCGGUGCAUUAGCUAGUUGGUGAGGUAACGGCGCACCAAGGCCACGAUGCAGAGCGGACCGGAGAGGGGGAGCGGGCACACUGGGACUGAGACACGGCCCAGACUCCUACGGGAGGCAGCAGUAGGGAAUCUUCGGCAAGGGACGAAAGGCUGACCGAGCAACGCCGCGUGAGGGAAGAAGGUUUUCGGAGCGUAAAACUCUGGUGGUAGAGAAGCGGUAUCUAACCAGAAAGCCACGGCUAACUACGGGCCAGCCGCCGCGGUAAUUC
RNAcentral lists this ribosomal RNA (403 nucleotides) under uncultured bacterium. RNAcentral describes it as "partial 16S ribosomal RNA". It matches the Rfam family "Bacterial small subunit ribosomal RNA", at positions 28 to 526 of the family's 1533-position model. The record is from RNAcentral.